UACGUAGGGGGCAAGCGUUGCCCGGAUUUAUUGGGCGUAAAGAGCGUGUAGGCGGCCAGAUAGGUCAGCUGUGAAAACUCGAGGCUCAACCUCGAGAUGUCGGCUGAAACCAUCUGGCUAGAGUCCGGAAGAGGAGAAUGGAAUUCCCGGUGUAGCGGUGAAAUGCGCAGAUAUCGGGAAGAACACCCGUGGCGAAGGCGGUUCUCUGGGACGGUACUGACGCUGAGACGCGAAAGCGUGGGGAGCGAACAGG
This 253-nucleotide ribosomal RNA is filed under the name uncultured bacterium. Its description in RNAcentral is "partial 16S ribosomal RNA". It matches the Rfam family "Bacterial small subunit ribosomal RNA", at positions 524 to 776 of the family's 1533-position model. The record is from RNAcentral.